UGCGCGAGCCGAGGGGCGGUGCCGCCGGAGCGGAGGGGAUAGGUCCUAUCCGCAGAGAGAGAUUUAGGGGCGUGGUCUGGGGGAGCUCUCCCCAUAUUGGCGGUUUCGCUUCCCGCGUCUUCUUGGAAAUGGAACAGGGGAAAGACCACCGUGAAAGGGCUGAGAGGGGAUGGCGAUACGCAUGCGCACAGAGAGUGAAAAUGUCUUCCACCAAAGUGGGCUUUCGUCUGGCUGCCUGUUUACUAAACAUUUCAGAAGCCAGAAAAAAAGACAUUGUUGAGAAAAUAGCUAAAGCUGCGCUUUAUGAUGAUAAUGGACAGAAACAUUCUCAAGCCACAGUACUUAAUAUAUUUUCUGAUUAUGAUUACAACAGAUCAGUUAUAACCAUAGCAGCUCCCAUUGACAUGUUAGGCAACUAUGUCAUUGCUGCCUGCACUGAGGCUUUCCGGUCAAUUGAUAUGGCUAUCCAGGAAGGAAUCCAUCCUUGCCUUGGAGCAGUGGACUUAGUUCCUAUCUAUCCUCUUUUGGAUGUAGGCGUGGAGGAAUGUGGAAAAGUGGCUCAAAGUGUUGGAGCCAGCCCCUAUGUGAUGAAUUGCAAUGUGACUAUAGACACUCAAGACGUGGCUAUAGGAAAAGAUAUAGCACGUGCUAUCCGAGGCAGCAAUACCCGUGGUUUAAAGGGUGUACAGACUAUGGCUUUUCCCCACAAUGAGAAAAUUGAAAUAGCUUGUAAUGUGGAGAGCUUUGAAGAUCAAGACAAUACAAUGACUGCACAUGAAGACUCUGGCUACAUUUCGUACUGUGUUCUUGGGAAGACUUUUUCGAACGGUGGUGCCCUUCAGCGAUGCACUGGUGCUGUGAAGACCUGAACCGCGCACGCACAGCCACUGGGAUGGACUGUGCCACUUGUCGUCACUGAGGAUUUAAAACGUGAUCCUGUGACAGUUUAAAUAAGUACUUGUCAACCCAUGUCAAAAAAGAUAACAGAAAGAGAGAGUCUUCAGGAUCACCUGACAACAUGAUUGGAAGGCAUGGACAGUUUUCCACAGAAGGAGAAGACUGGAACUUUUCAUUUAGAGAGGAGACGAACCCUACAACAGUUAACCUGAGCCAAUACCCAGAAUGCUGAACCCAAGCAACGCUUCCUUCAUGGAAAUUAUUUAUUUGUAUUGUAGUAGGAGUGGCCAGAGGCUGCAAGUCAAAUCGGAGCCCAACGAGUUCUGGCAGAUCAGCCGUCCCCAUGCUGGCUGUGAAGCAAUGGCUGCAGUUUAGAUACCUACUGUGCUUCAUGGAUUGCACCAGAAGUGACCAUCCUUCCCAAAUGCCAGCUCCGCGGCUGCAAUUGUAGAAAAGCUAUCCCCGCAUAAUCUCCCUGCGCCAAUGAGACAUGCCUGUUAGGGAGAGGAACUCCGCUCCUCCCCGUCUGCCCAGAAAGCAAAAUUGGGGCCACCUCACCAUUGCUGGGAACCAGCUCAGCAGCUGUGUCUGUGCAUGUGACCUCUCCAGCUACUCUCUGAACUCCCAUUCCUAAGCAGGCUCACUGAAAAGCUGACCAAGGGUCACCCCCUAGAUCCUGCCAAAAUCCUGGACCCCUCCAAGUCAGUCUUCAGGCCAAGGUAUAGAACAGAGCAACUGAUCUGGGAUUGUUCAACUCACUCCUGGAAGAGGUCAGGAUGCUCUUCAGCCUCGUUGCCUGGAGGAAAGAGGGAGGUGCUCAGAUACCCUGGUGAUGGACUUCAAAAGAACCUAGAUAGCUUCUUAGCUCUGUGCCCUUGCAGCUGCGUAUAUGAUACAUAUUUGUAUGUGUUUCUGUGUUAACACGGCCAAUCUGUUUUCCCAGGCUUUUUCUGGAAGGGGGUGGGUGUUGAGUGGGAUUCUGAAGCUGAUGGCUGGGAGGAGCCAGCUGUUGGCACACAGCCAGAUUGUAAAUGUUUUUGUUUGAUUGUUGUGCAAAAUCUAAAACAUGUGCUAAGA
This is an RNA transcript of Mauremys reevesii (Reeves's turtle), 1974 nucleotides long. It is a transcript of the gene named formiminotransferase cyclodeaminase N-terminal like, with no coding region annotated. The transcript has 10 exons. The record is from RefSeq and is a predicted model, not a curated record. Lineage: Eukaryota; Metazoa; Chordata; Testudines; Geoemydidae.